RNAcentral lists this long non-coding RNA (1014 nucleotides) under Marmota monax (woodchuck). Lineage: Eukaryota; Metazoa; Chordata; Mammalia; Rodentia; Sciuridae. The record is from RNAcentral.
CUGACAUUCUGUCCCCAGCUUAUUCUGCAGCCAGACUGGACACCUUUGACGUGACAAGGCCAGGGGGUCUGUCCCUACCAGGCCCUUGUUUUAAGGAGCCUGUGCAGCUCUGCUUAGGUUUAGGUUUCACAGCACCAGGGGGAAAAGAAAACAGUGUGAAGAAGAAAGAAAAGUGGUUUGUGGGAAGAAGGAAGCCAGACAGAAAUGAAAGUGGUGAUGUUCACGUCUGUCCCUGCAGGCAGCUGUGUGACACAUGGGGGUGGGGUGACAUGAGCAGGUGCCUCUGCCCAAAUCACAUCAGAACUGGAGUUCCGUGACCUGCAGUGUCCCCACCUCCCUGCUCCCACACCUGUCCUCACCUGUCUGCACUCACAGCCUCCCACCUCAGCAGAGCAUUCUCUCUGUCCCAAGAGAGACAGAAGAUCGUAUUGUGAAGGGGAAAUUCAAAUAUGUGACUGUGCGUGACAUGGAGUCAUGGGCCAGCAGAGCUAGCAAUCACCCUGAGUGAGUUUUGCCUUUUCCCUGGAUUCUGGCAGGACAAUCCAAGUAUUCCAUGAAUCAUUUAUUACUGAAAACGUCUUCCUGAGUGCCUCUAUGAGACAGGUGAGGUUGUGCGUAGCCCCCUGAGGAGCAGCAGAUGAAAUAAAAAUCAAACAAAUGAUGGAUUCUACCAAAGCACAUCUGGUCGGGGGAUGGCAGCAUUCAUACCAGAGAUGUAUCCUGUGCCAGCCUUGAGUACUGAAUCCAUUCCACUCCACAGCCAACUUACCAACCCUGUGCGGAACACCUUGCUGUGAUGUGAGGUGAGUGACCAGUGGUACUUUAACGGGGUGGCUAAGGAAGACCUCUCUGAGGAUGUGCCUAACUGUGACUAUAAGCAAUUGUUGGGAGGUUGAGCCAUGUGAGGACAAGGUGACCAAGUGCUGCAGGUAGAAAACUGGCCAGUACAAAGAUCCUGAGGUAGGGACCAUCUUGGCAUAUUGGGAAAGAGUAAAAACAAACAAACAAACAAAC